UUUCCGUAGGUGAACCUGCGGAAGGAUCAUUGAAUCGAUCGAAUCCACUUUGGUAACCCAACUCGUGCACCGUCCGAAGGUCAGACCUCCCUUUCGAGGGAAGCCUGACCGGGCGCCGGGCAACCGAUUGUUCCCUUUGCCCAAGAGGCAUUGGGAGGCCCUUUGCCGAAAGGCAUCGGCUCCUUGUCAGUCGGGGGUGCCGGCGGGCCAGGCCCCGAAUGCUUUCGGGUGGUGCCCUCUCCUUUUUGGAGAGGGCCGACCAUGCCUCCACUUCGGCCUUCGGGCUGAUGGAAGCGCGGUUCCCGGUCGACUCUUUUUGUUCAACCCAGACAAAACCUUGCUAAAGCCAACGGCGAUCGGCUCUGCCGAAAGCAAAGCAAGACAACUCUCAACAACGGAUAUCUUGGCUCCC
Molecule: unclassified non-coding RNA, 412 nt
Filed under: plant metagenome
Description: partial contains small subunit ribosomal RNA, internal transcribed spacer 1, and 5.8S ribosomal RNA
Source: RNAcentral